UUACCGAGUUUACAACUCCCAAACCCAAUGUGAACCAUACCAAACUGUUGCCUCGGCGGGGUCACGCCCCGGGUGCGUCGCAGCCCCGGAACCAGGCGCCCGCCGGAGGGACCAACCAAACUCUUUCUGUAGUCCCCUCGCGGACGUUAUUUCUUACAGCUCUGAGCAAAAAUUCAAAAUGAAUCAAAACUUUCAACAACGGAUCUCUUGGUUCUGGCAUCGAUGAAGAACGCAGCGAAAUGCGAUAAGUAAUGUGAAUUGCAGAAUUCAGUGAAUCAUCGAAUCUUUGAACGCACAUUGCGCCCGCCAGUAUUCUGGCGGGCAUGCCUGUCCGAGCGUCAUUUCAACCCUCGAACCCCUCCGGGGGGUCGGCGUUGGGGAUCGGGAACCCCUAAGACGGGAUCCCGGCCCCGAAAUACAGUGGCGGUCUCGCCGCAGCCUCUCCUGCGCAGUAGUUUGCACAACUCGCACCGGGAGCGCGGCGCGUCCACGUCCGUAAAACACCCAACUUCUGAAAUGUUGACCUCGGAUCAGGUAGGAAUACCCGCUGAACUUAAGCAUAUCAAUAAGCGGAGGA
This 577-nucleotide ribosomal RNA is filed under the name Trichoderma koningiopsis. RNAcentral's name for it is "eukaryotic LSU rRNA". The stretch from base 188 to 341 matches the Rfam family "5.8S ribosomal RNA". Lineage: Eukaryota; Fungi; Ascomycota; Sordariomycetes; Hypocreales; Hypocreaceae. The record is from RNAcentral.